GUGGGCAGGCACUUGAGGGCCAUGCGGCAGGAAGAGAAGUGUGUCUUUGUUCUCAGAAGGAGCUGGGUGGGAAAUGAGAAACGAUGGGUGGAAGGCUUAGUGAGGAGAACUGGAAUCUUGCUGCCUCAUGGUUAACAGCUAGCCUGGAUAAUUCUCUCAAGGAAAGACAUCUGUAGAUCCUUGAGAGACAGGAUUGCAGGAAGCUUGAAUUCUCCCCGGAAGUUUGGGGGAAACAGCCCCUGAUGAAGCACUUUGCGAAACAGCUACUUAUGCCAAUGUGGCUGUAGUGUGCUCUCCCUUGUUGGAUUUGUCAUUUACCAUCAGUCACCACAGAGCAUGUCACUUGCUUUUUUCUGAUUCAAGGACUCAUGACCUGAACUGUUUGUACUUAUUAAAUUUCCUUAUCCUGAAGACAUCUGGGAUUUUGCCUGGAUACCUACAAUUAUCAGUUCUCAAUUUUUCAUUGUUUUGUACAUUUAUUUGUCUGUAUGUUGUAUUUCUACUUUGAAUUGUGUUAUUUAUUUUUGUAUGUGUUAUAAUAUGUUUUCAUUGUGGGAUGGCAAUUCAUGUGGUUUGACCACAAUUUGAUAAGAUGUUGGUUUACCAUCGGUCUGGCAACACACCUGUCUCGAGUGUCCACAUUUGGCCAGGUGGCUUUGGUAAUUUCAUAAAGGCGAUCUUUGUUACAUAUUCUAUAUUAGUUUGAUUGUUUCCAGGUGUGUUGUGAGUUGGUUCAUUCAUUUCCUAUUUAUCCCCAGCACAGCAUCCCUCCAGUGCCUGUUGCUGGUGUCUAUCUUAUGUUUCUUUUUUAGAUUGUGAGCCCUUUGGGGACAGAGAGCCUAUCUCUCUAUCUAUCUAUGUACACUGCUUUGGGAACUGUUUUCAAAAAGCGGUAUAUAAAUAUUUGUUGUAUU
Molecule: long non-coding RNA, 914 nt
Organism: Hemicordylus capensis (graceful crag lizard)
Lineage: Eukaryota; Metazoa; Chordata; Lepidosauria; Squamata; Cordylidae
Exons: 2
Source: RefSeq, a predicted model, not a curated record